CGUUUAAGUGUGACCUUUCUUUACAGUUUCAUGUUUACAAAUGUUUUAUGAGUAAAGUUGGUAGCUCCAGAGUCCAGACCAAUGAAGGACAUACGAAGGACUAUCUCAAUCUACAAAACACCAGAAGGACUUUUCUUUUUGCAGAACAGCCCAUCUCGUAACAACCAAAUUGUGUAGUAAUGCAAAAGAGGGGAACUUGAGCGAUCAUUUAUUAAGCAUUGUACCUUUUGUGUUAAUGUCAUAAACUCCUAUGAAUUGUUUCAGAACAUCCAAAUGGUGAACUGUUGCCGAGGCCCACCUGGCUGUCUUAUUAUGCAUAGUUUUGUGAUGUGACCUGGUAUGGAGAGCACUAGCGGUGGCAGAAGACAAGCCCAACUGGAGGUGCUUCUUCCUGGGUGGCACUGAUGCAUUGAUAACAGUAUGGGAGUUGGUGAUUGGUGAGGCGUGAUUGCAGGAUCACUCCAUAUAAAUGUUUACAGUAUUGAGUUGUCAAGCUUGCAGAGCUGCUCAAGAUAACUCCUUAGCACUGUCCGGGGGAACAUGGGGAAAAAAGGUGGCCAGCCUUGUGUUGGAGAUGCAUUCUAUCUUUACACUUUAAUGGUUACAAAAUUCCAGUCAGUGUUUUCCUGUUGCAGGUCUGAUGAACAAAUGGCUGCAUAUUCCUCAAUCUAACAACUAGUGAACUCCAGCCAGGAAAUGAUCCGUCUGCACAGCGGUUCUUUGACCCUCGGAGUCAGAAGCAUUUGUGAGAUCGGAACAUGUGUCUCCAGGAUGAGAUAGCAUCGCUGGCAGGAUCUUUCCCCUGGCGAGGCCCAGAUGGAACUGUUCGGUGAUAAUCAUCCCGUGGACUCGGAUAUGCCCUCCUAAAAUGCCACGUGGUGAUUGUUCCCUGCAGGUUGCACGCGCUGUCAUUAUCCGCCGCCGCGGCUGAUGUGACGUUCUACAAGGGAGCUCUUGCAACGGCACAGCAGGAGGACGCGAGGCCUGAGCAUGGCGACCAGGCGCCUCUACUCCUAGGGUGACCGCAAGGCAUGGCGACAUGGAACGGUAGCUGCUGCGUCAUGCGUGCAGCCGGUCAGGUACAGCGUAGCACUCUGUUUUCAUGUUUUGCAACCAUGAAUCUCAGGGCCGAUUUGGAUGCCUAGUUGUUAUAAGCUACCGAGGCUUGCUCCUCGGUUCUUUUUCAGCUUUCCGGUGGAGAUAUGCUUGCCCCCUAUUACGAGACAGCAGGACAUCCAUGUGCGAUAGAGUA
This is a long non-coding RNA of Setaria italica (foxtail millet), 1252 nucleotides long. RefSeq lists it as uncharacterized. NCBI's taxonomy places the organism in Eukaryota, Viridiplantae, Streptophyta, Magnoliopsida, Poales, Poaceae. The record is from RefSeq and is a predicted model, not a curated record. The transcript is spliced from 2 exons.